AGCGAACGCUGGCGGCAGGCUUAACACAUGCAAGUCGAACGGGCACUUCGGUGCUAGUGGCAGACGGGUGAGUAACACGUGGGAACGUACCUUUCGGUUCGGAAUAAUCCAGGGAAACUUGGACUAAUACCGGAUACGCCCUUCGGGGGAAAGAUUCAUCGCCGAUAGAUCGGCCCGCGUCUGAUUAGCUAGUUGGUGAGGUAAUGGCUCACCAAGGCGACGAUCAGUAGCUGGUCUGAGAGGAUGAUCAGUCACAUUGGGACUGAGACACGGCCCAAACUCCUACGGGAGGCAGCAGUGGGGAAUAUUGGACAAUGGGCGCAAGCCUGAUCCAGCCAUGCCGCGUGAGUGAUGAAGGCCUUAGGGUUGUAAAGCUCUUUUGUCCGGGAAGAUAAUGACUGUACCGGAAGAAUAAGCCCCGGCUAACUUCGUG
This 433-nucleotide ribosomal RNA is filed under the name uncultured bacterium. RNAcentral describes it as "partial 16S ribosomal RNA". It matches the Rfam family "Bacterial small subunit ribosomal RNA", at positions 29 to 507 of the family's 1533-position model. The record is from RNAcentral.